This 3361-nucleotide long non-coding RNA is filed under the name Acromyrmex echinatior (Panamanian leafcutter ant). Its description in RNAcentral is "uncharacterized LOC105146778". The record is from RNAcentral. Lineage: Eukaryota; Metazoa; Arthropoda; Insecta; Hymenoptera; Formicidae.
CAGUACUGAUUUCCAAACUGACUUUUAAAUUCUAAUUAUAAAUCUUGUAACACUAGAGCGUCCUUUAUGGAAAUUAUUAUAAUCUUUGAAAUUCAACAUUUUUGGCUCUUAUGAAAAAAAAACUGAAAAUUGAGUGUUUUUCCGAAAUCUUCAGUGUCUUUUUCAUAAGGAUGGAUUUUCAGCGCAUUUAAACUCCACGAUACCAAGAACUCCUAAGACCCAGCUGUUUUAAGAUAAUCAGAUUUUUUUUAAUUUGAAUUUUAGAAUUUUAAAGCCAGAAUCGAAUUUAAUGACUCCGAAAACCUUCAGAAAACAUUAAGAGCAUAAGUUACUUUUGUUUGAAAUCUUCGGUUUCUCCCUCUGAAAAAAUUAAAUGAAUAUUCUCUUUCUCUCUCUUCCUCUCUCACGUAUUGACGAUGUGUGUCACAGGUAUAUCUUAUCCACCACCGUCACCACCGCGAGGUGCUCUCAGACGAGGAUUCGCGUUACCACAAUCUCGGAAUCCGCCUUUGAUGAAAACGAGACACGUAAAUGCAUCCUUGACGCAAUCAGCACAAGUAACUAUGGGCAGUUCCGACACCGAAGUUAUCGAAGAAAGACGGAGAAGGAUAGAUCCUUCGCAGAGAAUACCAUCGACGAGCAGUAUCGUCGAGGAAAAGAAAUGACCUGCAAAUUGACCUGAAAGAAGAAUUUUCCAAACAUUUGGUGUGGACCACAUCGUCGACGUGGAUGUACGUGAUAUGUAAAGGCUCGACGUGAUAUGUAAUGUUCGACGUGAAAUAUAAUGUUCGACGUGAAAUGUAAUGUUCGACAUGGAUGUACGUGAUAUGUAAUGCUCAACGAGAUGCAUUCUUCUCUCUAUGUGUGAGUACUGCACACAGAAAAUUCGAGGAGCAUUGAUCUUCGAGGAUUGAUUGUCUCGCACUCUUUGGAAUCCUACAAAACGAGUCAAUCAAUACAUUACAAUCGAUUGGGGCCAUUCGAAAUCAACGUGUGAAGUUUGUACCACUACCGUAUCGCUACUUUUAUCUCGUUAUCUUCUUGUAAUUCGUAGAUGUCUCUUUGUAAUAAUUAAACUAAGUCCAUGUUAUCUAUGAUUAAUAUCGCAUCGUGGCGUUGUUGGCUGCGUGCAGUAUUAAAUACAGAUUUCGACUUAGACUUUUAAGCGAUGAACAGAAAGGCCUACUUAGAGUAAUUACAUUAAGAUUUCAUAGUGAAUGUAGGGCCGCAGCUAGCGUAUAAUACGCCUUUUUAAAGAAAUUCAUUUAGGCGCCUUAUGAUAGAACAAAAAUCUUUGAAGAAUCGAAGAAAAUUGAAAACUGAUUUCGAGCAAGGAAACCAGGAAUGUGCAAGAGUACAAGUUGGCGUCUUUCUUUCCCUUUUCCCAUUGUAGAGGCACAAUGCCUACCCAACGACCAAAAAAAGAAAAAGAAGGUUUUGACUACAAUUGCCUUGUUCAGACUUAACGCAUUAAUGAGAAAUAAGAGCGUACAAAGACAUCGAAACCUUUAAAAAUUUGUAGAUUUUAAAUCGCUGCGUUCAUUCUAAAGAAGUCUCAAUUUUACGGUGUGAUAUGUAAUCGACAUCGCAAUUCAGACAUCGAAAUGGAAAUGACAGUUAUUUCGUCUUUUAUUUAGCUAAUCAAUAUUAUCUAAAAAUUUAUUUUAUUCUUUGUUCAAUUAUUUCAGUACUUUAACUAUUUUAGAUUUUAACGAGAAAUGAUUCAAUAACUAUUGUUAACAUGUAGUUAACGAUCGUGAAGAAUGUGUCACAAAAUGAAUUAUUUUCCUGGCACAUCACUCUUUAAAAUUAUUAUUGAAUACUAAAAUAAUAACAUAACGAUUCAUUUACACAAAGCAUCGUAGAAGCUUUAAUUAUAGCGGAUCAGUUAUUUAAUCGAGAAACAAAAUAUAACUUUAAAUAAUUUAAUUCUUUUUUUUUUACAUAUUUUCAAACUUUUUUUUCUCUAAUAUCUUUUAUUUUUUUCAUUUAUAUGGCAUAUUGUCCUUGUACGGUGCGCAAUUGAUGUACGUGUGCAACGGCUUGGUGAAUGUCAUAACCUAAUGGGUUUAAUAAGUGGAAAGUAAUAAACCUCUCUAAGAAAUCUUAUCAAAAAAAAAAGAUCAUGGAUGUAACAGAUGACUGAACGGGAAUUAUUCAUACAAGUAAAAUAAAAGUAAAUACGAAGCUAAAAUACGUUAUAUUAAAUGAAAGUUUCUCGAAGAAAUGUAUGUCAAUAGAUAUGCAUCAUAAUCAAGAACAAUAGUAAUGUAUAUACAGAAAUUAAUAAAUCUCAAACAUCGAAAUGGAGAUAACAUUUGCUUCAUUCUUUCACUUGUUUAAUAUCCUCUUUGCCUAAAAUUAUUUUCUUCUCAUUCAAUUAUCUUGUUACUUCUAUGAAAAAAGAUUCGAUAGUCGUCGAAGGAUUGUAUGUCAACGUGUUGUCAACGUAUGUCUGGUUGAAGAUUGUUAAAAGAAAUGGGCCAUAGACGGUGCACUGUUUUCUGGCGAAACACGCUUUGAUGAACAAAGGAUAAAAACAGAAAAAUGUAAAAGAAGGAUGUUUACUUCCAAGCACAAAUCUUGAUUCAACGGCAUCUCACUUCAAGAUGAGGAAAAUAAGCCUCAACGAUCGCGAGACUGAUUUUUUUUAUUCAGUUACUUGGAAUGAAAUGUCGUUAUAAAUCGGAUGUGUAUUCAGAAUAAAUAAGUACCACCUGCCUAGAGAUAACAUUAGAUACAAUAAAAACCUGUCUCUCUCUAGAGAUAAUAUUAUGUAGAAAAGGAUGAUAGAGAGAAAGAAAGAGAUACAGGAAGAGACAGAGCAAUGUGAUUUUAUAUAUGAGCACCUAUUCGGUUCCUCUCGUUCCCUCGAUUCGUAUUGUUUGCUCUUGUAAACUUGAAGCAUUAAUUAUCUUCCACGAGAAUAUGAAUCAUAUGUAUGUACAAUUAUAUUCGAGAUUGAAAUAUAAUACAUAAUUUAUUAAUCAAGUGCGAUUAUUAAUGUUACCACCCACUCUACAAUUCGCGAAAGUCUUGUUUUAAGUGAUACUUGUAUUUUAUCGUGCUGCACUAAUACUAUUGUCUUCUGUAGUUUCAGUUUCGUAAAUUUUAAAUCGUAAUUAUCGUUCGACAAGGCUAACAAAUAAUAACAAUAAAUUAAAUAAAAAAUCUCUUCUUUUUGCAAGUAUAAUUUAAUUUAUUAUAUUAUAUUCGAUGAAAAUAUAGGCGCCCUUUGCAAUUUAAUGACUCAUGCUGAUAUAUAGUCUAAAUUUAAUUUCCUAUGUCCUCUCACAUUAGUUAUAGAUAUUUCUUAUAUCAACAACUUUCUGAAACGUCUUGAAAAUGUAUUCACCUUCAA